Molecule: ribosomal RNA, 239 nt
Filed under: uncultured Lactobacillus sp.
Lineage: Bacteria; Bacillati; Bacillota; Bacilli; Lactobacillales; Lactobacillaceae
Description: partial 16S ribosomal RNA
Rfam family: Bacterial small subunit ribosomal RNA
Source: RNAcentral
UAACCUGCCCAAGAGAUCGGGAUAACACCUGAAACAGAUGCUAAUACCGGAUAACAACAGAUGAUGCCUAUCAACUGUUUAAAAGAUGGUUCUGCUAUCACUCUUGGAUGGACCUGCGGUGCAUUAGCUAGUUGGUAGGGUAACGGCCUACCAAGGCGAUGAUGCAUAGCCGAGUUGAGAGACUGAUCGGCCACAUUGGGACUGAGACACGGCCCAAACUCCUACGGGAGGCAGCAGGC